This 2743-nucleotide long non-coding RNA is filed under the name Neodiprion lecontei (redheaded pine sawfly). Its description in RNAcentral is "uncharacterized LOC124292860". The record is from RNAcentral. Lineage: Eukaryota; Metazoa; Arthropoda; Insecta; Hymenoptera; Diprionidae.
AAAACACGUUUGAUCCUUUCUCAAUUAUCCUCAUCGAUUAGCUUACAUAAUAAUCGCGAACUAGUUACGAGGACGUCUAAAAUCACUCAUCGUUGUGACGUCUCCGAAAUAAAAUCGUCCAACUCGUUCUCACGGAUUCAAUUAUACAGGCCUUGUCCCAAGAGUACGAUCGAACGGAGCAGUUUAAUCGAGUAUGAUGAUAGCACAACUUUCGAAAAAUUAUACUGACGACUGGUUUGGGAAAAAAAUGGUCAAAAUGGUGGGAAAAAAAAGAAACAUAUACAAAACAAACUUAUUUAAAUGAUAUUAUCAGCUUGUGUAAUCAUCUCAUCGAAACCCCUAGCUAAAUAAAUACUUUAUUUCGUAUGUCAUUAUUGAAAUAUGUAUUCCGAUAGGUCAUUCAAGAUCGCAGAACCAGAUAUAAGACGGUGUUUUUUUGUUUCUUCUUUUCUUCCCAACGAAUAUUAAUUGCCCGUGUGUAUAAUGCAACGUGUAUAAUUUAUAAGGGUAAAACGGUACGUCAAUCACCAUUAAAUAGAACGGUGAUAAAAAGGGUGAAGAAUAGAGAACAAAUAAGAAAAUUAUGUACAUAAAUCAUUGCAGUCAUUACCAAUGCCUGCUUUACGAUUUACUAUCAAACGUUCAUUCGUCGCGUAUUAACAUAACCGAUCUGCAAAUGCACACAAGCGAUCUAUACACGGAGGGAAAGGAUUUAUUUCAGUAAUGUGAUAUUCGUUUGAUUAAACUAAAUGCUAUAGUCAAAUACGGUAAACUACUUUAGUCGGACUUAAUGUGUAAAUAAAUCAUGCCUUUGAAUGAUCAUGGGUAUUACACAUUCCUGACUUGGAUCAGUUAACCUGAUGGCGAAUUUAAUUCACGUUAUCCGAAUCUGAUUACGAGCCCGACUACCCAGUUUUAUAACAAUCUUUGAAGCUACUUUCAUAGCGAGAAAGUUCACCGCCUAGUGGCCGUUUACAGUACUAGUAUACCGAUACUUACGAUGAAUAUAUUCGCUACUUGUUCGAUCACGACAAGAAAGCCAUUUUUGUUGAAUCAAGGAAUUCGCUUGACUAAAUCAUUUUGACAAACUACCUAAUAAAUCGAAAUUGUCGAAUUGAAGUAAUCGUAUUUAAACAAACAAGGGAAUGGACUCUGAUAAAAUUUAUUUUCGUGUUUCAAGAAUUCCUUUAUCUCCGUGUAUGCGUGUAGCUGCAAUUACGUAUGCAAUUAAUUAAGCCAUAGACAAACUGCAUCGACAAGCGAAAAUACGUAGUGUAGUAUAUGUAAUUGAUACAGAAAUGUGUUGAAAAUUUAUAAUAUUAUUACUAUUGUUAUUAUAUAAUAAGAAAUUACUCAAUGCAGGAUUCUUAAAAUAAGAUGUAAAAAUUAUAAGAUAUGAAUUUCUGUUUCACGUAUUUAUUACUGUACGUAAGCGAGUUAAAAAAAAAAACGAUUGGCGUUCGAAUGCAGGGAAAAAUUAUUCGCAUUACGAAAAUUUAUACUACCUUGCAAAAAUUUAUAUUAAUGUAGCAGAAUCAGCAAAUUAGUACACCUCGAGUUAUUCGCCUUUUCAAACGGAUUGUUUCUUGGUAUAUUACUGCGGGUUAAAAAUUUCGUGUAAUGAAACUGUUUUGAACGGAAAAUAUAAAUUUUUGAUUUCACCCCCGACCCAGGAAUUACCUUGUAAACUUAUAUUUUGUAAAAUAAAAAUUUUAUUCCAUCCUCUUCGACCGAUAUCAAUUCUUUUCCCUAUUUUUUAUAUCGGCAUAAAACUUCAUUGAUACUUUAGCCGUAGUCGAUCGAACGUGAAACAUAAGGUUGCGAAUUUCAUAAGACCCCAUCCAUACGUGCAAUGUGUAUCGCAGGUAUUAUAGAAAGGUAAAAAGAGGAAAGGCAAGAAGGCGGUCAGUGCGUUAGGAUCGCCACGACACCGUAAACUAAACGACUCCUGUGCCUCAAGCUUCGUUCGAGAACGUGAAAUGCCUCACUCCGGUGGAUUCCGUCGUGUAUUAGGGCUUCAAGAUAUCUAGGUGAUCCAUUAAACUAAUAAAAUUAAGAACACGCGUCUUAUAUGGCUUCUGUAAAAGGAUCAUACCUUUGGGUCAUACCUAAGGUAGAGGGCCUUACGUACUAUCUAGAGAUCCAGUAAUUGUUUAUUACUGAUGAGAUAAUUUUUCAAUAGAGAUAUUAAUAAUCGGUGUUUUUUUAACCGAAUUAAUUCAACAACCAAAGCACAAAUUCGCUCGAAUUGAAACUGCGGAAUUUGGUCUGUUAUAAAUAAAUAAAUCGGUUAAAGGAAUAAAUGAACCGGACCAUCAUAAAAUUCUUACUUAUGUUUAUUACUGUAACGUUAUUGUUUUAUUUCUUGAUUUUUUUAAUCUUAUAGAGCGUGUUGCGCGUCAGAUAUGACAUAAACAAGUAGAUUAGUAUGAUUUUUACCUAAAAACGAUUAUUAAUGCUUUUAAUAAUAGAGUAAAUGUAUAUUUAUGUACCAUAAUAUUCACAUUAUAUUAUAUACCCGAUAAAUUGUUAAUCGUAUGACUAUGUAAUUAUAUAAAUUAAAGAAGGCUCUUCGGGGAAAAUAAUUUAUCAACAUUAUAACUUAGUACGACGACAAAACUUCGCAGGAACCUCCACAUAUACAACGAAAAUCAUUCAAUUUAUUUAGGCUAUCUUAGACGGUAUUUUUAGAAUAAAGAAGAAAAGAGUACCGCUCUCUUUGUUUUUCUCCCCGCUAAAAGAA